Molecule: small RNA, 599 nt
Filed under: Oryza sativa Japonica Group (Japanese rice)
Lineage: Eukaryota; Viridiplantae; Streptophyta; Magnoliopsida; Poales; Poaceae
Description: sRNA Os10g0205400
Source: RNAcentral
UGAUAGCUACACUUCACCUAAUGUCGCGAAGAUGGUAGAAGAGGUCAAGGGAGUAGACGUUGUCCUCGUCGGCGAAGUAGACGAUGCCGUGUAGGCGGUGGUGCUCGAUGUGAUCCAGCGCCGUGUUCCGCUGGCGGGCGCGGCUGUCAACAGCCGGGCGGUCCUGCCUCCGUCCGCGGCGGCGGGGACGAUCCUGGGGCGCGUCGGGGACGGGGGAGGAGAGGUGGCGGUACAUGACCCCGCAGCCGCGGAGGAGCGCGGCCGUGUCGCGCGUGGCGGCGCCGGACUCGACGACGAGCCAGAGCAGCGGGGACGGCGCGAGGCGGAGCGUGUGCGCGAGCCGGCGCAGGUAGUACGCCUGCAGCGGGCGUGCGCGGGUCGGCGUCACGACCAGCAGCAGCUUCCGCUCCUCCGCCGCCGCCGGCAACGGGGUGUCGACGUCGACGACGACGGACGGCGGGUCCUCCCUGACGAGGAUGGCGGUCGCAGGGGGAGGGAGCGGGAGGUGGAGGUCGAGGUGGAGGUGGCGGUGGGCGAAGGGGAAGAGGCCCGCGACGAAGCCGAGGAGGAAGCAGAGGAGGAAGCACGGCGCGGAGAUG